GAGAGCGCGGCCAAACUUCGCCGGCCGUCGCCUGAGUGAGAACUAGCCGGAGGAAAAAAAGAAAAUGUAAAAGCGGGGGGGGGGGGGGGGCGAGCUGUUCAACCGGCGUGAGAGAUCCAGCCGGCCGCCUACACUUCGCUUCGCCGCGCGAUUGGCUGAGCGCGACGCGUGACGUCAUCCGGGGUGGCGUCGCGCACUCUUUUAACUAGGGCCCGAGCCCGGACGCCGCGCGGCCACUGACGCAGGCAAGGGCCACGAACUGGCACGGCCACAGAAGACAGCAGGCCCUAGGGACUGAACCCCGCGCACUUCGCCGCCAGCAACAAGUUCGCGCGCCCUGCGUACUCGCUCUCCGCUCAGCUGCCUCGGACAUCGACGCAUCUCGUCGGCGGCCAUGCUGUGUCCCCUGCUUCUCCUGGCGGUGGGCGCCGUAGUGGCUCUCGGUCGUCCCAGCGACCGGACGCCCUGGGACUCUGAGGCCCGCGACUUGCUGGCCCUGCGCUACCUGUCCGGUGAGGGCCGCGGUGUCCGGCCGGCCUGGCCCAAGCGGGCGCUCAGCCUCUUCGCCCACUGGCGGCCCCAGUACACCCCCGGAGGCGACGAGCCCGAGCUGCCCAGCGACAUCUCCGGAAGGCCCCACGGACUCCCGCUACGCUGGGGCUAGGCCCCCGAGCAGCAGGGACCGCGCGGGGUCGUCUAUCGUCAGGCGACGCCAAACGCUGGUGCGAGGCAGCGCACGUGCCUGUAUCCACUCUCCCCCACACUGGUCCUACAGAAACUCGCUGAGGCAGAAAUGAGAAGCCACCCUUCUUUUGUUUGUUUGUUACGAUUCGGGCUUCUUUUGAGACUGGUGGAUUGUGUCCGCCGCACUUUCUGUAUUACUGCCCAGAACCUGUUAUCGAAAACUUCUGCGUGCUGCAUCGGCUGCGUUUGUAAGAAUACGAAUCGAUAUUUUUAUUUAUUUAUUUAUCAUUUUCUUCGUUCUACGGAGCCAUUGAUCCCGAGUAUUACGUGACACUAUCUCAGAAGCCCCCUGCGUACAUAUCGUGGUAGUGCAUCAUAAGAGGAGGGAUCGGUAUCACAAUCUCAGUAUGAUAAAAUGAUACAAGGUCAUUGCGUGAAAACACGACAAAUUGUGCGCCCCUCAUUCAUCAUCCACCAUUGCGGUCAUGCGCAAUAUACAUGACUCAUGUGUUCAACGUUUUCUUCUGUUUCUAUAUUUCUUGUCGGCUGCCGCUAGUGAGUUGCGCCGAUAACGCCAGUUUCUCGCUUACCGCAGGUUCUUUUGCACUGUUGUUAUUAUAAGAUAGUAAUCGCAAUCGCGCCGCCGCUGUCUAGCCCUAAAUAAGGUUCAGUGCUAAUAAAGCGGACAAAUGAAGCGCACUUACGCCAUGAAAAAAAAAGGAAACAAAAGAAACAAUGGAAGCUUUAUACGGCCAGAAGUUUUAUGCCAGCACAGCAUAGCCCUAAUUAUCCGGCUUUAAGCAAGUCUAAAAUGAAAGUUUACGCACCUGCUUAUUUACCAUCUCAAAGUUCGCCAUGUCAACCAGUUAGGUAGUCAAAGGGCCGAAACAGGUCGCUUUUGACGACAGUAAUUUGAUUGCAAUUUGCUUGGAAACGUAAACUCGAACCAACGAUGCAGCGUGUUAAGAACGUUGCACCUAACUAAGGACAAACGUUUACCCUAUAUAAAACAUAAGAUUUACAUUCGUGAGCGCGCGUCUUGUGCAAUGCAAUAACACUAUUUCUCAGUUAUCGUUUCGAAUAGUUAUGACAAGCCGUGUAUAUAAUCCGUGUAACCCUUAUGUUUCAAAUGUUUGCCACUAUGUUUAUUUUCGGAUUUUCGGUAGAAAGAAAUUGACGCCUUAAUUAAUGUUGGUUUGAGGAUGCGUCGCUUUCGUUUGUUGCGAAGCUGGCAUAGGGUUCUGAGGGAUUAUCAAGACGUAGCGUGAAUGUCACGACAGUGCAGUGAGUAAGAAACAUCCGUGAUAAGUGUUACGAUGCACACAGGCACGAUGCGGUCUCGCGUGUCCCUGAAUACGAGGGCGAAAGGAACAAGGAAAGGAAGAGGAGUGGGCACGUAUUAAACUGCGCGGAAAUUCAUAUAGAGCCCAGCUUAUCAGUGCUUCCGGGAUCUCUGUGGUUCACUGCACAAUAUACAUCUGAAAUGCAAAGGCAUCGCUAUACUCUUACACAAAACAAAAGCACCGGUCUUGUAAUGCUCUAUAUGCAAACCGUGAUCGCUUCCACAAAACAUUAAAGACGCCCACAUUACUGCUGGCGGUGUUGUUGCGUAUCGUUUCGUGCACUGCAUGUUACUUAAUCGUGCAAAUUUACACAUAAAACGAGUUACAGAAUGAGAGCACUGUUCGCUGUUUUCUAUACCAUAACACCCGCAGAAAUAAUCGAAAUGUUCAGUAAACGUUUCUAUCGUGCAUACACGAUCCCUUACGAAGUAGCCACUUUUCAUUUGGUGACUCGCCAAAUGUAUCCUUCAGCGUAGAUGUCUCUCAUGCGUUUCGUUUUGUGUAAAAUAUGAUAUAAUCGACUUCUGUAUCGACACAUUUAUCAAUAAAUAAAUUGCAACUCAAAGAAGCAGCAGAAAGCACACGCUGCGUGUAUUUCAACAAACGCUAAUCUGAAGCAAUUUAACAUUGAGCGUCUUGCAUGCUUCGUCGUUACAGUAUACCUUGUUGUAUUGCUUGCUGUCUAAUAAAAUUUCGUUGUAGCAGCGUU
Molecule: RNA transcript, 2736 nt
Organism: Rhipicephalus sanguineus (brown dog tick)
Lineage: Eukaryota; Metazoa; Arthropoda; Arachnida; Ixodida; Ixodidae
Exons: 2
Source: RefSeq, a predicted model, not a curated record